GACGAACGCUGGCGGCGUGCUUAACACAUGCAAGUCGAGCGGUAAGGCUCCUUCGGGAGUACACGAGCGGCGAACGGGUGAGUAACACGUGAGCAAUCUGCCCAUCUCUUUGGAAUAAGCGUUGGAAACGACGUCUAAUGCCGAAUACGACCUCCUUUCGCAUGAUCGGAGGUGGAAAGCUCCGGCGGAGAUGGAUGAGCUCGCGGCCUAUCAGCUAGUUGGUGAGGUAACGGCCCACCAAGGCGACGACGGGUAGCCGGCCUGAGAGGGUGACGGCCACACUGGGACUGAGACACGGCCAGACUCCUACGGGAGGCAGCAGUGGGGAAUAUUGGACAAUGGGCGAAAGCCUGAUCCAGCAACGCCGCGUGAGGGAUGACGGCCUGG
This 387-nucleotide ribosomal RNA is filed under the name uncultured bacterium. RNAcentral's name for it is "bacterial SSU rRNA". It matches the Rfam family "Bacterial small subunit ribosomal RNA", at positions 28 to 419 of the family's 1533-position model. The record is from RNAcentral.